AUUGAGUACAUGAUGAUUUCAUAGUUCAACUGAAUUAAUUUGAUGCACUACUGGGAAUCUUUCGCCCCUAUCUGAUUACUCUUA
Molecule: small nucleolar RNA, 84 nt
Organism: Cephus cinctus (wheat stem sawfly)
Lineage: Eukaryota; Metazoa; Arthropoda; Insecta; Hymenoptera; Cephidae
Product: small nucleolar RNA snR60/Z15/Z230/Z193/J17
Exons: 1
Source: RefSeq, a predicted model, not a curated record